This 1003-nucleotide unclassified non-coding RNA is filed under the name Hevea brasiliensis (rubber tree). The record is from RNAcentral. Lineage: Eukaryota; Viridiplantae; Streptophyta; Magnoliopsida; Malpighiales; Euphorbiaceae.
CCGUUAUGGAGAUAAAAACAAAAUAUGAAAAAACAACAACCGAUGUUUAGCUCCCAAAAAGUAUAUUAACAUUCCACUGACAUAUGAAGCCGACUCAAUUAGCUGGGUCCUUUUCAUAACUCAAAUUAUUCAGGAAAAAGCAUAUUUGCUUGCCGCCAUUUUCAACUCCAGUACUCUUCAGUCCCUUCAAUUUUCUGUAACCCUUAUCGGUGCCAAAAAUCCAGUCCAUAUAGACAAAAGUUGAUGAGUAGUUUCCAGAUUUAGUAUAUAGCAAGCGGUGGUGAUAGUCAUGGAAAUCAGCACCCCCAUACAAAGGUAUAAAGUUGGAAAGGCUCCAUGGGAAGUGGUAACCACAGUGUGCUUCAACUGUCUCCAGAACUCUUAGCACCAUCCAUAACCACAAAGUCAUCAGAUGGGGACCAGUGAUGGCAGGACCAAUAAUGGUAGCAAAUCCAAGAAACAGUAUCUCAGCAGGGUGAGCAUAUUCAGAUGUCAGUCCAAAUGGUGUAGCAUAUUCAUGGUGGACACUAUGCACAUUCUUAUACAGCCACUUUGUAUGCAGAAUCCGAUGACCCCAGUAGAAGACAAAAUCUUCCAGGAUGAAGUAGAAUAUUAUCUGCAUUAGAACUACUUUCCAGGACGGCAAUGGAAGACUACUUCGCAUGCCCAUGUAUUUGAAUACAGGAUAGGAGAGUAGCAUAACUGGUAGAUUGACACCAAAAUGAUACAAAAGCAAUUGAGUAAUGCAUUUCUCCUGUGCUGCAGUACUGUUGUUUUUGGUCUGAAUUUUGUACUUGCUCAGCCAACCUGCCCUUUCAAGAUAUAUGAAUGGAAGUCCAGAUAAGAAGAAGACACUUUCAUGAAGAAAAAAGCUUCCUAGGCACGCCAGCUGAAAGUCACUGAAAUGUGUAAUCAAAUACAGCCAGCCAGAUUCGAUGAGGGAAGCCAUGAAGAUGGAUUUGGUGAAUUGGCAAUGGGCAGAGAAGAGGCAACAGUAAGAGUG